AGGGAUUACCUCAGUAACGGCGAGUGAAGCGGUAACAGCUCAAAUUUGAAAUCUGGCCCUUUCAGGGUCCGAGUUGUAAUUUGUAGAAGAUGCUUCGGGUGUGGCUCCGGUCUAAGUCCCUUGGAACAGGGCGUCAUAGAGGGUGAGAAUCCCGUAUGUGACUGGCUGCCUCCGCCCAUGUGAAGCUCUUUCGACGAGUCGAGUUGUUUGGGAAUGCAGCUCAAAAUGGGUGGUAAAUUUCAUCUAAAGCUAAAUAUUGGCCAGAGACCGAUAGCGCACAAGUAGAGUGAUCGAAAGAUGAAAAGCACUUUGGAAAGAGAGUUAAACAGUACGUGAAAUUGUUGAAAGGGAAGCGCUUGCAAUCAGACUUGCGCGCUGUUGAUCAUCGGAGGUUCUCCCCCGUGCACUCGGCAGCGCUCAGGCCAGCAUCGGUUUGGGUGGUUAGAUAAAGGCCUUGGGAAUGUAGCUUCUUUCGGGGAGUGUUAUAGCCCUCGGUGCAAUGUAGCCUACCCGGACCGAGGACCGCGCUUCGGCUAGGAUGCUGGCGUAAUGGUUGUAAGCGACCCGUCUUGAAACACGGACCAAGGAGUCUAACAUCUAUGCGAGUAUUUGGGUGUCAAACCCAUAUGCGUAAUGAAAGUGAACGGAGGUGAGAACCCUUAAGGGUGCAUCAUCGACCGGUCCUGAAGUCUUCGGAUGGAUCUGAGUAAGAGCAUAGCUGUUGGGACCCGAAAGAUGGUGAACUAUGCCUGAAUAGGGUGAAGCCAGAGGAAACUCUGGUGGAGGCUCGCAGCGGUUCUGACGUGCAAAUCGAUCGUCAAAUUUGGGUAUAGGGGCGAAAGACUAAU
Molecule: ribosomal RNA, 848 nt
Filed under: Phialina lachnobrachyoides
Lineage: Eukaryota; Fungi; Ascomycota; Leotiomycetes; Helotiales; Pezizellaceae
Description: eukaryotic LSU rRNA
Rfam family: Eukaryotic large subunit ribosomal RNA
Source: RNAcentral